ACACUCCUGCGGGAGGCAGCAGUGGGGAAUAUUGGACAAUGGGCGCAAGCCUGAUCCAGCCAUGCCGCGUGAGUGAUGAAGGCCCUAGGGUUGUAAAGCUCUUUUGUGCGGGAAGAUAAUGACGGUACCGCAAGAAUAAGCCCCGGCUAACUUCGUGCCAGCAGCCGCGGUAAUACGAAGGGGGCUAGCGUUGCUCGGAAUCACUGGGCGUAAAGGGUGCGUAGGCGGGUCUUUAAGUCAGGGGUGAAAUCCUGGAGCUCAACUCCAGAACUGCCUUUGAUACUGAAGAUCUUGAGUUCGGGAGAGGUGAGUGGAACUGCGAGUGUAGAGGUGAAAUUCGUAGAUAUUCGCAAGAACACCAGUGGCGAAGGCGGCUCACUGGCCCGAUACUGACGCUGAGGCACGAAAGCGUGGGGAGCAAACAGGAUUAGAUACCCUAGUAGUCCCAUG
Molecule: ribosomal RNA, 450 nt
Filed under: uncultured organism
Description: partial 16S ribosomal RNA
Rfam family: Bacterial small subunit ribosomal RNA
Source: RNAcentral